RNAcentral lists this ribosomal RNA (449 nucleotides) under uncultured bacterium. RNAcentral's name for it is "partial 16S ribosomal RNA". It matches the Rfam family "Bacterial small subunit ribosomal RNA", at positions 29 to 523 of the family's 1533-position model. The record is from RNAcentral.
AGCGAACGCUGGCGGCAGGCCUAACACAUGCAAGUCGAACGAAGUCUUCGGACUUUGUGGCGGACGGGUGAGUAACUCGUGGGAACGUGCCUUUAGGUUCGGAAUAACUCAGGGAAACUUGUGCUAAUACCGAAUGUGCCCUUCGGGGGAAAGAUUUAUCGCCUUUAGAGCGGCCCGCGUCUGAUUAGCUAGUUGGUGAGGUAAAGGCUCACCAAGGCGACGAUCAGUAGCUGGUCUGAGAGGAUGAUCAGCCACAUUGGGACUGAGACACGGCCCAAACUCCUACGGGAGGCAGCAGUGGGGAAUCUUGCGCAAUGGGCGAAAGCCUGACGCAGCCAUGCCGCGUGAAUGAUGAAGGUCUUAGGAUUGUAAAAUUCUUUCACCGGGGACGAUAAUGACGGUACCCGGAGAAGAAGCCCCGGCUAACUUCGUGCCAGCCGCCGCAGUAA